UACAGAGGUCCCAAGCGUUUGUUCGGAUUCACUGGGCGUAAAGGGUGCGUAGGUGGUGAGGUAAGUCGGAUGUGAAAGCUCGGAGCUCAACUCCGAAAUGGCAUUGGAAACUACCUCGCUAGAGGAUCGGAGGGGAGACUGGAAUUCUCGGUGUAGCAGUGAAAUGCGUAGAUAUCUGGAGGAACACCGGUGGCGAAGGCGGCAUCCUGGACCGACACUGACGCUGAGGAGCGAAAGCCAGGGGAGCAAACGGG
RNAcentral lists this ribosomal RNA (254 nucleotides) under uncultured bacterium. RNAcentral describes it as "partial 16S ribosomal RNA". It matches the Rfam family "Bacterial small subunit ribosomal RNA", at positions 524 to 776 of the family's 1533-position model. The record is from RNAcentral.